This 896-nucleotide ribosomal RNA is filed under the name Salmonella enterica subsp. enterica serovar Poona. RNAcentral describes it as "partial 23S ribosomal RNA". It matches the Rfam family "Bacterial large subunit ribosomal RNA", at positions 394 to 1190 of the family's 2925-position model. The record is from RNAcentral. Lineage: Bacteria; Pseudomonadati; Pseudomonadota; Gammaproteobacteria; Enterobacterales; Enterobacteriaceae.
GUGCUGUGAGCUCGAUGAGUAGGGCGGGACACGUGGUAUCCUGUCUGAAUAUGGGGGGACCAUCCUCCAAGGCUAAAUACUCCUGACUGACCGAUAGUGAACCAGUACCGUGAGGGAAAGGCGAAAAGAACCCCGGCGAGGGGAGUGAAAAAGAACCUGAAACCGUGUACGUACAAGCAGUGGGAGCCCCACCACUAAGCCAGUGGUGAACUCCACAUACGCAUCCUUUGCUGAGGAUACGGUUAACGGAGCGAAAGCGACGUUCAACCUCAAAAGAAGCAGAGGGGGCUUAGUGGUGGGGUGACUGCGUACCUUUUGUAUAAUGGGUCAGCGACUUAUAUUCUGUAGCAAGGUUAACCGUAUAGGGGAGCCGCAGGGAAACCGAGUCUUAACCGGGCGUUAAGUUGCAGGGUAUAGACCCGAAACCCGGUGAUCUAGCCAUGGGCAGGUUGAAGGUUGGGUAACACUAACUGGAGGACCGAACCGACUAAUGUUGAAAAAUUAGCGGAUGACCUGUGGCUGGGGGUGAAAGGCCAAUCAAACCGGGAGAUAGCUGGUUCUCCCCGAAAGCUAUUUAGGUAGCGCCUCGUGAACUCAUCUCCGGGGGUAGAGCACUGUUUCGGCUAGGGGGCCAUCCCGGCUUACCAACCCGAUGCAAACUGCGAAUACCGGAGAAUGUUAUCACGGGAGACACACGGCGGGUGCUAACGUCCGUCGUGAAGAGGGAAACAACCCAGACCGCCAGCUAAGGUCCCAAAGUCAUGGUUAAGUGGGAAACGAUGUGGGAAGGCCCAGACAGCCAGGAUGUUGGCUUAGAAGCAGCCAUCAUUUAAAGAAAGCGUAAUAGCUCACUGGUCGAGUCGGCCUGCGCGGAAGAUGUAACGGGGCUAAACCAU